AAUAUAAAACGUUCCAGAGUUACAGGAAUUUUUCACAUUUGUAUAUUGUAAUUAAUAAUCCAAAAUCUCAUCAGUAGUGAAUAUAGUAGUCAAACAUUCUAUUGUUUUAGCUCCAGGCGGCGUUAGAUUUCAUGCACAAUUAUUUAAAUCUUGAACAAUUAUAAUAUUAUUACUAUUCGGGUGUUUGGUUAAUCGAAAAUAUACCCCAAGAUCCAUUACGGAAAAACCAAUAACAGU
This is a non-coding RNA of Cinara cedri, 237 nucleotides long. The record is from the annotation of a GenBank genome assembly. Lineage: Eukaryota; Metazoa; Arthropoda; Insecta; Hemiptera; Aphididae.